GGUUAAGUCCCGCAACGAGCGCAACCCACGUCUUUAGUUGCCAGCAUUUAGUUGGGCACUCUAGAGAGACCGCCGGUGAUAAACCGGAGGAAGGUGUGGAUGACGUCAAGUCAUCAUGCCCCUUACAUCCUGGGCUACACACGUACUACAAUGCUACGGACAAAGGGCAGCAAGUUCGCGAGGACAAGCAAAUCCCAUAAACCGUGGCUCAGUUCAGAUCGUAGGCUGCAACUCGCCUACGUGAAGGAGGAAUCGCUAGUAAUCGCAGGUCAGCAUACUGCGGUGAAUACGUUCCCGGGCCUUGUACACACCGCCCGUCACACCAUGGAAGUUGGCCACGCCCGAAGCCGUUACUCCAACCCUCGGGAGGAGGACGUCGAAGGUGGGGCUGAUGACUGGGGUGAAGUCGUAACAAGGUA
Molecule: ribosomal RNA, 419 nt
Filed under: uncultured bacterium
Lineage: Bacteria
Description: bacterial SSU rRNA
Rfam family: Bacterial small subunit ribosomal RNA
Source: RNAcentral